This is a long non-coding RNA of Lytechinus pictus (painted urchin), 3790 nucleotides long. RefSeq lists it as uncharacterized. The transcript is spliced from 3 exons. NCBI's taxonomy places the organism in Eukaryota, Metazoa, Echinodermata, Echinoidea, Temnopleuroida, Toxopneustidae. The record is from RefSeq and is a predicted model, not a curated record.
ACUUGUACCGGACUUGUGGCAUCAGCAAAAUUACACAUUUCUGCGCAAUUUUGUUGUUCCAGGCCGUAGUGCUUUGCCGUGAAAACGUGGGUGCAAGCAACUUUUUUGUGUAAUGGGGUCUGUAUCAAUAGACUAUACCAACCCAUGCCGCAUGCAUAUGCAUGAGCCAAGUGCAGCUUUAGCUGCGCGCGCAAUUUUAUAUUAUGCAAUGCCAUGUGAUAGCUUGCUGGAUUUUUGUGAAGGAGCUGGAUGGAGUGGAAAUCAUAUUUUUCCAAUUAGCCUUUGCAAUUAGAGGUGUGUUGGUGUUUAGCUCCAUGGCAGGACUAGGUGCUCACCAUUUGGGUCUACUCAAGGUCCUUUGUGAAUCUUUCACAGAGUAUUACGUGUAAUAAAGCUGAAGAUGGCUAUAUGAGGCAAUCAGAAACAGACUGAAUCAGUCCCCACCUCUACCUCAACAAGUUGGCAAGACGAGUGUACAGAAAUACCUUACAUUCUACAUGGCAAUAGCUCUGGAAAUACGAGGUACCUUUGGUAAAUCAGAUGAUCAAAUACCAUGUAGUAGUGGAGGUAUUCCAAGAGAGCAGUGGACAGUCCAUUGAGGGAUUAGUUGUCAUGCAAGGUGAAAGAUAAGCAGAUAGAAGGAAAGGAUAAUCUGGAUUAGGUCUCUGGAUCUAACAAUGACAUUACUCAGGGGAGCAUUUAGUGAAAGGACUUGUCAGACUUAUUAUCUGACUGUUUUUAUCCAACUGUUACCAUAGUAACAGUGCUUCUCGGCCAAUCAGAAUGAAGAAAAGAUGUCAGAUCUGACAGCUCGUCAGACCAAAAUAUUGAUGAAAUCGUCCCCUGAUCAUCAAGGAGUGAAGAAGUUUUAUAGUCACUUUGUAUUCCUCAUAAUUCUCUUAAAUCUGAUGAAGCAAGUUUUUCAUCCACAUACAAGAUGACGAUGUGUCUGAUGACAUGGGCUUGGAGUGUAAAAGUCCUCUGAAAAAAGUCUUUUGCUAGGUUUCCAAGAUGGGGAACAAUGGUCCAAUGUUGAGUCAGACAAUGUAAUUGAUGUUGAAGACUUUUUAUAGGUAUUCGUUAACCUUUUGGAAAAUACUUGUGACAAUUCACAAUCAAAUAUUGAGCAUGGAAGAGGCAAAAAAUUGUCUGAGUGACCUGAAGAGCAUGUCUGAGUGAUGGUUUUAAAACCAUGGACACCGAUAUAGUGACCGAUAACUGCAAUUGUUCCACAAGAUCAGGAGCUCGACCCAAAGGCAGAAAUGGGAUGGAGGAUGUUGAUGUUGGACGUGGUCAAUGAAGACAACAGUCUGCAGGAGUUGGCCCUCUAGAUUGGACAAGGCUCUGGAAAUACAUAGAGAGUCUUUGGCAAAAUGAUGUGCGAGGAUUGAGCUUGCUGGAUAGAGAUAGAGAGAAACUGCCAUGCUAUUCUUGGGAUUUCAUCGAAUCUUGGAAAAAGGGUGCCCUCAUGUAAGACGGCGCCCGGAAACAUUUGAGUGACGUUUGACUGAGCAGCUGGAGAAAUGUCGAGCACUACAAGGUUUCCAGUAAGUGGCCAAGCAUGGGACAUUCCAGGCACAAGAUAAGUACGCCCUCACCGAUGACAGACAGACCAAGCUUCCAAAUGUCACAUUGCAAGAGUAGCCCAGGUUUCUGAAUUAUAUAUAUAAUUAAGAGCGGGGGAAGGGGGGGGGGGUAGUUUAUUUAAAAAAAUCACAUUUUAAUGUGUGCAUGGUUUUAGUUUGCAUUUUGUAGUAUUUAGUGAAAUGUAGAGGCUAUCUCCCUUAAAUGCAAUUGUUUAGACCAAUAUUUAUGGGUGAUAUUUAAAACAGGGUUGGCCUAUAAAGUGGGAAAUACUAGAAGUAAAUACAAAUACUGCCUCAAUAAUUUGGAAAUGCAGGGAAAUAGUAAGAAAGUUUCUUCUUGAAUAUUUUCCUUGUAUCGUUGAGGUGUUUCUCAAGCAUGUUCUAGCAUUUUCCUAUACCACCCUUACCAUCCUAGUGCUUCCCAGCAUUUUUUCCCCCCAGUAUUUCCCUCCUGGUUGGGACUUAAUUUUCCCAGGAAAUUGCCAACCCUAUGAUUGUAAGUCCUGGGUCCCGUAACACAAACGUUAGCAAUUAAUCGUACGCUUGAUUUUCACGAUGAAUUGUACAUUGCAGUCAAUGCUAAACUUUGUAUUGCAGGCCCAGGUCUAACUCUAUACUAAACCAUCAUUGAAAGAGGCGGAUUAGUGUGAUUAGAGUCACACUUAAAUAUUGAUUUAAAAAAAGAAAGAUAAUAUUCCAAAGAAUUCAUUGAAAUCUAAUUCAUUUUUUAGUUCUCAGACAACACAACCUAUAGACUCAGGGGACCUACAUGUAUUGCAACCCUAAUUUUUGUUACACAAUUCCUAAGUGUGCUUCUGUUUGAUUGGUAAGAAAUCAAGUUAUCAUUGGUAUUUAUUUUUUUUUGUUAAAAGCUUGCUCUUUUGAAAAGAGGGAGAUGAAAACAAAGGCCAUGACCAGAAACUAAACGGUUAGAUGAGAUCAUGAGAUUGCCAAAAAGGAGAUUUGUCUUCAUUGUUUUUUAAACCACUACUGAUAUGAAGGUUUAGAAGCCCAGUAGUCAACCGGUAGACAAGCGAUUGGAACCUUGCAAAUGCAUCAUCUCAAGCAUGCUCUUGCGAUAGCGACUAGCCAAUGUACUGUAAUUUUUGUUAAUUGUCACGUAUAGUAACAAAACUUGCCCAACAUUGGCUAGUCCGAAGCAUGAGUAUUAUCGUACUUGAUCACCAUUGGCUGGUUUAAAUUCUGAUACGCCCUACAGAGGGCAACUCCUAUUUGAAUAUUCAUGAUUUUAUGCCACAUACAGAACAAAGCAUUAUGUCAGCCACAUGGUCAAGCAAAAGUGUACCAUGCAUUCAGCUAUAAUGCGGAGCCCCCUCCCCAUUAACGUAAUGACAAUGGCUCGAGACGAGUCUCCAAAUGUCAACAACAUACACGCUCGUCUUCUUUCUAACACACCAUAACACUUGUAUCUCUCUGACUGGUCUGUAAUUCCAUAAACGGGGCGUUUGAGACAUUUUAAAUAAUUUUGAUCACUUGAAACCUUCUAAAAAAAAAUUUGAAAAUUAAUCUGAAGACUAACAAUUUCAGUUCACACAAUCCACUGCAUAAAAUGUAAUGUCAGAAAAAAGGAAUAUAUUAUGCAGUACCCAUUAUUAGACCUUUACACAAUGAAAAAAAAAUCAUGUUUUAAAAUGCAUUAACUUAUAUGAAUAUAUAUGAAACAAAAUGAAAUUAAAAGUGCAUGUGUAUAUAAUGAAAUGAGACUGAAUAAAAAAAACGGAGGACAGAAAAACCGAAUUGUCAAAGUUAAAAUACCGGUAUAUAUUACAUGGUUAUUUUAAAAAGCAUGUUCAUUUUUUGCAUAAAUUACUAGAAAAGAGCACUUUCUUGAUAGUUUCAUUUUUUUAGCUGCUCAAAGUUUCAUACAUGUAAAAUGAUGAGGAAGUUUGUUUUCUAGCAUGAUUGUGCUUCUUUGAUGUUGGUCAUACAGUCAUGGCCUAUCUUUGGUUAGACACCGGGUAAAUUCAAAGUGUCAGUACAGUAUUUGCAAUUAUUCACAAGAAAAAUUGUUUUGGAGUGAAUUUGGUACUGGUGCUUCAGCCUCGAUUAUACACACAGAACAUUGACAAACUGUUCUGCAUACCUUUUGAUUAAUUAUUAAGGAUUUCAAACACUCUAUCCAGUGGCAGACACUUUCCUUAAAUAGCCACCUGGAAGAUUAGAAGUAUGGUUCCAUUUAAGGU